GCGUAGAUAUGUGGAAGAACACCAGUGGCGAAAGCGGCUUGCUAGAUCGUAACUGACGUUGAGGCUCGAAAGUAUGGGUAGCAAACGGGAUUAGAUACCCCGGUAGUCCAUACCGUAAACGAUGGGUGCUAGUUGUUAAGAGGUUUCCGCCUCCUAGUGACGUAGCAAACGCAUUAAGCACCCCGCCUGAGGAGUACGGCCGCAAGGCUAAAACUUAAAGGAAUUGACGGGGACCCGCACAAGCGGUGGAGCAUGUGGUUUAAUUCGAAGAUACGCGAAAAACCUUACCAGGUCUUGACAUACCAAUGAUCGCUUUUGUAAUGAAAGCUUUUCUUCGGAACAUUGGAUACAGGUGGUGCAUGGUCGUCGUCAGCUCGUGUCGUGAGAUGUUGGGUUAAGUCCCGCAACGAGCGCAACCCUUGUUAUUAGUUGCCAGCAUUUAGUUGGGCACUCUAAUGAGACUGCCGGUGAUAAACCGGAGGAAGGUGGGGACGACGUCAGAUCAUCAUGCCCCUUAUGACCUGGGCAACACACGUGCUACAAUGGGAAGUACAACGAGUCGCAAACCGGCGACGGUAAGCUAAUCUCUUAAAACUUCUCUCAGUUCGGACUGGAGUCUGCAACUCGACUCCACGAAGGCGGAAUCGCUAGUAAUCGCGAAUCAGCAUGUCGCGGUGAAUACGUUCCCGGGUCUUGUACACACCGCCCGUCAAAUCAUGGGAGUCGGAAGUACCCAAAGUCGCUUGGCUAACUUUUAGAGGCCGGUGCCUAAGGUAAAAUCGAUGACUGGGAUUAAGUCGUAACAAGGUAGCCGUAGGAGAACCUGCGGCUGGAUCACCUCCUUUCUAAGGA
RNAcentral lists this ribosomal RNA (852 nucleotides) under Oenococcus oeni. RNAcentral describes it as "bacterial SSU rRNA". It matches the Rfam family "Bacterial small subunit ribosomal RNA", at positions 688 to 1533 of the family's 1533-position model. Lineage: Bacteria; Bacillati; Bacillota; Bacilli; Lactobacillales; Lactobacillaceae. The record is from RNAcentral.